GAGACUUCUCGUAGCGCUGUUUUCUGAUUGGCUAUCGUGUACCUGCAAUGCGUCAAUUUCACUUUUAAACUCCAACCGUCUGCCGCGUGCAAUGGUCACAAGCUCACAAUACGAUCGGAUUCUCACGUGGAUGCUCUGCAUCAAGGAAAAAAAUAUUUAUUCAGACACUCGUCUCUCGACACUUAUUAUGCUAUCUUAUCACAUGAGUAGUGGGUGCCCCUUCCCGAGGCCGUUUCCUCGUUGUUUUCCACCUACAUUGGGUACGUUUGUCCUUCCCUGCAUAUAAUGUAUACUUUGUACAAAACUGAAGGGUUGUACGACCCUGAUGGCUAAAUGAAUAAACUUUUUUUUGCAUUUUACUAAACCACCCCCC
Molecule: long non-coding RNA, 373 nt
Organism: Lutzomyia longipalpis
Lineage: Eukaryota; Metazoa; Arthropoda; Insecta; Diptera; Psychodidae
Exons: 2
Source: RefSeq, a predicted model, not a curated record